RNAcentral lists this ribosomal RNA (389 nucleotides) under uncultured bacterium. RNAcentral's name for it is "bacterial SSU rRNA". It matches the Rfam family "Bacterial small subunit ribosomal RNA", at positions 30 to 419 of the family's 1533-position model. The record is from RNAcentral.
AUUGAACGCUGGCGGCAUGCCUUACACAUGCAAGUCGAACGGCAGCACGGGAGCAAUCCUGGUGGCGAGUGGCGAACGGGUGAGUAAUAUAUCGGAACGUGCCCAGUCGUGGGGAUAACGUAGCGAAAGCUACGCUAAUACCGCAUACUAUCUAUGGAUGAAAGCGGGGGAUCGCAAGACCUCGCGCGAUUGGAGCGGCCGAUAUCAGAUUAGGUAGCUGGUGAGGUAAAGGCUCACCAAGCCGACGAUCUGUAGCUGGUCUGAGAGGACGACCAGCCACACUGGGACUGAGACACGGCCCAGACUCCUACGGGAGGCAGCAGUGGGGAAUUUUUGGACAAUGGGCGCAAGCCUGAUCCAGCAAUGCCGCGUGCAGGAUGAAGGCCUUC